AUUGAACGCUGGCGGCAUGCCUUACACAUGCAAGUCGAACGGUAACGGGCCUUCGGGUGCCGACGAGUGGCGAACGGGUGAGUAAUGCAUCGGAACGUACCUUUCAGUGGGGGAUAACGUAGCGAAAGUUACGCUAAUACCGCAUAUUCUGUGAGCAGGAAAGCAGGGGAUCGCAAGACCUUGCGCUGAUUGAGCGGCCGAUGUCAGAUUAGCUAGUUGGUGAGGUAAAGGCUCACCAAGGCGACGAUCUGUAGCGGGUCUGAGAGGAUGACUCCGCCACACGUAGGAACU
This 291-nucleotide ribosomal RNA is filed under the name uncultured bacterium. RNAcentral describes it as "partial 16S ribosomal RNA". It matches the Rfam family "Bacterial small subunit ribosomal RNA", at positions 30 to 320 of the family's 1533-position model. The record is from RNAcentral.